GUUUCGAUCUGAGUGGGGCUUAUAAAAUGGAUAUGCGUGUCAAUUCCUCCUGCAGUGAGUAUCAGUCCCUCUCCGGCUAUUACUUCGGUCCCGGAACCGACGAUAAGCGAGUCGGUGACUCCGUCCAUUAUGUCCGGAUUGCCUGCCUUACCUAUACCGCAGAUACGACCGUUUUUUAUUCCGACGUCGGCUUUUAUGAUCCCGGUAUAGUCUAUUAUUACGGCAUUUGUUAUUACAGUGUCGGGACAGUCGCUGUCGGAUACGCCGCAAGCCUGUCCCAUGCCGUCGCGC
Molecule: small RNA, 291 nt
Filed under: Candidatus Ornithomonoglobus merdipullorum
Lineage: Bacteria; Bacillati; Bacillota; Clostridia
Description: 5' ureB small RNA
Rfam family: 5' ureB small RNA
Source: RNAcentral